This 2889-nucleotide ribosomal RNA is filed under the name Tannerella forsythia 3313. RNAcentral describes it as "23S rRNA". Lineage: Bacteria; Pseudomonadati; Bacteroidota; Bacteroidia; Bacteroidales; Tannerellaceae. The record is from RNAcentral.
CGGUACAGACGACACGGCACCGUGGCAGUGGGAUGCGCAGCGUAAACGCCCUGUACUUUAUUGGGAAACGACAGAGAAAAAGAAUGAAUAAUCCACUUCCGGAAAGGGAGCAUAAAGAAAAAUGGAUAUGAAAAAGAAAAACAAGAUUCUAUCGAUGACAUUCGCAAGGCAGAUUGCGCUGAUGACAGUGUGCAUGAUUGGAGUUGCCGGAACGAUGCAGGCGCAACAGCAGGAAAAGGUAGAGGGGAAAAAUCGUACGCAAUGGGGCGUAAAAGCUGCCCUGAACAUCGCUUCGCUCGAUUUCGAUGCCUCCAACGGUAAGUCGGAAAGUACCAAAUCGGUGUUAGGCGGUGCUGCGGGUCUGACGUUUGCCUACGCCUUUAAUCCCAAUUGGCGUAUCCAUUCAGGGAUUGAGAUGUCGAUGAAAGGAUUUUCCGCUGAUGAGACGGGCGGUAGUCGUGAACUGACGGUACACGCUGCCUACAUAGAGGUUCCCGUGACGUGCGGCUAUGUAAUCGAUUUAGGCAAAUGGAACUUCGAACCUCGUCUCGGUGCUUUCUUCGCUUACGGCGUGGCGGGCAAUUACAGCGUGUCGGGGGCGGACAGCAAGCAGACUUUCAGUGACAAACUGCUCAAUCCGUUCGAUGCGGGCUUAGCGUUCGGCUUUUAUGCCGACAACGGAAAAAUAGUCUUUGGCAUCGGUGGAGAGUUUGGAUUGGCGGAAGCCAACGGAAAGAAAUUCAGCGUGUCAGGCGGCACUGUCCACACGCGUAAUACAUUCUUAAGUGUGGGUUAUCUGUUCUGAACAUCAAAAUUGAAUAUGGAGAGCGCAUGGAAACCGUGGCUAAACGAAUUCCGUGCGCUCUCUUUUUAUAUAUGUCAAACUUCAAUCGGAUAAAAAAAUGAAAAGACUUGUUAAAACCCAUUCGUUCGGGAAACUGUUUCCGGACAAUCUGACUGUAGCAGAAUUGCGUACUGUAACGGACCGCUUCAUCGAUGAAAUCAUCAACCUUUGUGAAGUGGAAAAGUCGUUUCCCUCGUUGUUUCGUACACUUCAUUACACACGCUUCCGCCUGCAAUCUCUCGACGAAGCAUCGUCCUCCGCAAGCGGAAUGGGGAAAAAAUAUAUCGGAGCUACUCUUUGUCAUUGACACGGAACUGGAAUUGUUGAAGAUGCGGAUGCAGGGAGUUCUUCCUGCGUUGCCCGUCAAACCAGUCCAGAAACUCCGUUGGACAGGUAAAUCAACCGACUUGGUCGAACUCCUUUACGCCCUUGACACCUGCGACUGCAUUAACAAUGGUAAAAUCGGUGUAGAGGAAUUGUCAGACGCCUUUUCUGAAAUCUUCAGCGUGGAAGUCAAGAACUGUUACAAUGUCUAUAUGAACAUGAAGCGCCGCAAGGACGACAGCCGCACCUACUUUCUUGAUGAACUCAGGGAGGAAUUGAACAGGCGAAUGAAGGAAAGCGACCUGAAAGGCGGCAAGUUUAAGAAGCGGUAAAUCCUCAUAUUAAAGCAAAAGGGGGACACCGAAUUGUUCCGUGUCUCCCUUUUUACAUCGUUUUCUGCAACCAAUAGUCGCAGAAUUUGUUCUUAUACUUUGCUUGUUAUUGAUACGCUUUCCACUUUUCCGGUAUCUGUAAGUCAUAGUCAGAAACGGCAAGAUGGAUGGUAUCAGGUAAAAGACUUUGGCGAAACCGAUUUUCGUAACGCUUCAAUUGCGUCGGUUGUCCGAUACCCAUUGAAGCCAAGUUGCUUGAAUACUGAUUGGGAGGAAAAUACACGAACACUUUCUGCCGUGCCUGUGUCGCAAGUUCAAUUGCCGGAAUCAUGUCGCUGUCAGCAGAAACGACAAUAGCCACAUCACAGUUUUUCUGAUAGGCGUCUGCAACAAUUUGUGUUGCAAUUCUCACGUCUGUUUCUUUUUCCUCGUGAGUAUGUAUCACAUUCCCACACUUGAAGCAGGUAAUCUCUUUUUUUAGAUAUUUGCCCAAGAUCAAACGAAAUUUCGGAUUCUCUUUAUUCGCCUGAAAAAAAGCAUUCUGCCGUCGGCUUUGUUCUAUAUCAUCAGGUCUGGCAGAGAAGUAUUUUACUGCAAUCAAUUCCUGAUUGGGUCGCAUGAAACUCUCAAAUAAUUUAACAAUGUCAAGCCAAUAAUAUUUCCGCCAUCGUGUGGUCGAUUUCAGUCCAUAGUAAAAGUUGAAUCCAUCGAUAUAGACGAUAACUCUUUGCUUUUCUUCUGUUUCCAUAACUUCCAUAUAAAAAAUAAGCCACCCCAUUUCUGAAGUGGCGAGCCUUAGUCUUUUCCACCUAAGGGCGAUAAUCUGAUGCAAAGGUAAGCAUUUCCUUUUAUCCGCCAAAAUUUUUCUAUAAGUUUUUCAUUCUGUCCAUAAAAUGUUGAUUCGUAAUUCUCCAACUAUUAGUUGGAGAAUUACCACCUCUUAUCGAAAAGCCCUGAUAACUCUAUAGACAGCCCACAAGCAGGUGAAAGGAGCGGUGAAGACUCCUAUGAUGACAAAGAGGAGGAGUUUGAAGAUAUAGUAAAAUACCCACUACCCGUUUAUUCCGGCAAUCAUUUUAUAGGGAAUGAACUUUUCUGCUCGAUGCGUUCGGAGAAGUUAGCGGUAUCUUGGCACUCGAUAUCUGUCCCUGAAGCUGGUCGGCAGCCCCUCCGAGCCAAGCGUCCAUGGUCUUAGACGUAUUCGCCUGAAAACAAGCAAGGCCAUCGUCCUAUGUCCUUUUCGGCUUAUUUCUGUUCGUGAACGGUAAACCCUUCCGGAAUCGUAAACUUGUCGGCCGGUAUCGUCUCGUUCUCUCUGAUUUCUUUGGCUUCAUCCGUGACGACUACUUGUCCCUCGUUGACCGACUCGAAUUUCAGCAUGAUCCCUUC